RNAcentral lists this transfer RNA (90 nucleotides) under Amycolatopsis bullii. RNAcentral's name for it is "tRNA-Ala". Lineage: Bacteria; Bacillati; Actinomycetota; Actinomycetes; Pseudonocardiales; Pseudonocardiaceae. The record is from RNAcentral.
ACCCGGCUGGUGGGGGUCGAGCACCCGGUCGUGCAGACCGGGAUGGGCUGGGUCGCCGGCCCCCGGCUGGUCUCGGCGACCGCCGAAGCC